This 561-nucleotide long non-coding RNA is filed under the name Monodelphis domestica (gray short-tailed opossum). RNAcentral's name for it is "lncRNA (ENSMODG00000047021.1)". Lineage: Eukaryota; Metazoa; Chordata; Mammalia; Didelphimorphia; Didelphidae. The record is from RNAcentral.
CUCUGCCUGGGGGGUUAGUCGUGGAGAGCAUUAAUCAUGCAUAAGAAACCAGCCAUUUUCUCCCUCCUCUCCACCAAGCUUGAGUGAAGUUUUAAAAGGUCUGAUGUUGGCUUCCCCCACCCACACUGGUCUUAUUCUUCUUAUUCUCGUCCCACCCUGAGGCAGAGAACAGGUAUAUAACGUUUGAUUGUUUGCAAAGCCAAUCCAUGUGCAUUUUUAAAAGUGUGAUGGCAUGGAGGAGCCUGGGAGCAUGGGGAUCCAGAAAACACAAGGUCACCAGCAAAGUCCCAGGUGGAAUCGGAUGGAACGGCAGCUAACCAUCCGCCUCCAAGGGCUCUCUUCACUCCUCCCCAAAGAACGUGCCUCUUGCCCUGCGGCAGCCACCCACCAUCCCUUGCGGACAGUUCAUUUGGUUCUGGGGGCUCCCUUGAGAUGAGCACUGCGUCCUUCUAAUCGCCAGGAGAAGCGUCUUCCUCGCCCUGGAGAACAGACCGGUUGGGCGUCUCCAUUUGAUCUCUUCUCUGCCGGAGUUCCCGAAUAAAGGCUCGGUUGGUUUUCUCA